RNAcentral lists this ribosomal RNA (597 nucleotides) under Salmonella enterica subsp. enterica serovar Stanley. Its description in RNAcentral is "partial 23S ribosomal RNA". It matches the Rfam family "Bacterial large subunit ribosomal RNA", at positions 2248 to 2839 of the family's 2925-position model. The record is from RNAcentral. Lineage: Bacteria; Pseudomonadati; Pseudomonadota; Gammaproteobacteria; Enterobacterales; Enterobacteriaceae.
CGGACAGUGUCUGGUGGGUAGUUUGACUGGGGCGGUCUCCUCCUAAAGAGUAACGGAGGAGCACGAAGGUUGGCUAAUCCUGGUCGGACAUCAGGAGGUUAGUGCAAUGGCAUAAGCCAGCUUGACUGCGAGCGUGACGGCGCGAGCAGGUGCGAAAGCAGGUCAUAGUGAUCCGGUGGUUCUGAAUGGAAGGGCCAUCGCUCAACGGAUAAAAGGUACUCCGGGGAUAACAGGCUGAUACCGCCCAAGAGUUCAUAUCGACGGCGGUGUUUGGCACCUCGAUGUCGGCUCAUCACAUCCUGGGGCUGAAGUAGGUCCCAAGGGUAUGGCUGUUCGCCAUUUAAAGUGGUACGCGAGCUGGGUUUAGAACGUCGUGAGACAGUUCGGUCCCUAUCUGCCGUGGGCGCUGGAGAACUGAGGGGGGCUGCUCCUAGUACGAGAGGACCGGAGUGGACGCAUCACUGGUGUUCGGGUUGUCAUGCCAAUGGCACUGCCCGGUAGCUAAAUGCGGAAGAGAUAAGUGCUGAAAGCAUCUAAGCACGAAACUUGCCCCGAGAUGAGUUCUCCCUGAGACUUAGAGUCUCCUGAAGGAACGUU